CCUACGGGGGGCAGCAGUGGGGAAUAUUGCACAAUGGGGGAAACCCUGAUGCAGCGACGCCGCGUGAAGGAAGAAGUAUCUCGGUAUGUAAACUUCUAUCAGCAGGGAAGAUAGUGACGGUACCUGACUAAGAAGCCCCGGCUAACUACGUGCCAGCAGCCGCGGUAAUACGUAGGGGGCAAGCGUUAUCCGGAUUUACUGGGUGUAAAGGGUGCGUAGGUGGUAUGGCAAGUCAGAAGUGAAAACCCAGGGCUUAACUCUGGGACUGCUUUUGAAACUGUCAGACUGGAGUGCAGGAGAGGUAAGCGGAAUUCCUAGUGUAGCGGUGAAAUGCGUAGAUAUUAGGAGGAACACCAGUGGCGAAGGCGGCUUACUGGACGGUAACUGACGUUGAGGCUCGAAAGCGUGGGGAGCAAACAGGAUU
RNAcentral lists this ribosomal RNA (424 nucleotides) under uncultured Megamonas sp. RNAcentral's name for it is "bacterial SSU rRNA". It matches the Rfam family "Bacterial small subunit ribosomal RNA", at positions 338 to 779 of the family's 1533-position model. The record is from RNAcentral. Lineage: Bacteria; Bacillati; Bacillota; Negativicutes; Selenomonadales; Selenomonadaceae.